Molecule: ribosomal RNA, 381 nt
Filed under: uncultured eukaryote
Lineage: Eukaryota
Description: partial 18S ribosomal RNA
Rfam family: Eukaryotic small subunit ribosomal RNA
Source: RNAcentral
CAAUAGCGUAUAUUAAAGUUGUUGCAGUUAAAAAGCUCGUAGUUGGAUUUGUGGCAGGUCCGACCCUUCCUUGGCUUUGCCUUGGCAUGGGUUUGGAGGUGCCUUUUUUGGUUGGAACCUGUGUGGCAUUAGGUUGUCGUGCAGGGGAUGGCCAUCGUUUACUGUGAAAAAAUUAGAGUGUUCAAAGCAGGCUUAUGCCGUUGAAUAUAUUAGCAUGGAAUAAUGAUAUAGGACCUUGGUACUAUUUUGUUGGUUUGCGCACUGAGGUAAUGAUUAAUAGGGACAGUUGGGGGUAUUCGUAUUCCAUUGUCAGAGGUGAAAUUCUUGGAUUUUUGGAAGACGAACUACUGCGAAAGCAUUUACCAAGGAUGUUUUCAUUAA